GACGAACGCUGGUGGCGUGCUUAACACAUGUAAGUCGAACGGAAAGGCCCUGCUUUUGUGGGGUUCUCGAGUGGCGAACGGGUGAGUAACACGUGAGUAACCUGCCCUUGAGUUUGGGAUAACUUCAGGAAACUGGGGCUAAUACCGGAUAGGAGCUCCUGCUGCAUGGUGGGGGUUGGAAAUUUUCGGCGGUUGGGGAUGGACUCGCGGCUUAUCAGCUUGUUGGUGGGGUAGUGGCUUACCAAGGCUUUGACGGGUAGCCGGCCUGAGAGGGUGACCGGCCACAUUGGGACUGCGAUACGGCCCAGACUCGUACGGGAGGCAGCAGUGGGGAACAUUGCACAAUGGGCCGAAGCCUGAUGCAGAAAUGCCGCGUGCGGGAUGAAGGCCUUCGGGUGGUAAACCGCUUUCGCCUGUGACGAAGCGUGAGUGACGGUAAUGGGUAAAGAAGCACCGGCUAACUACGUG
This 468-nucleotide ribosomal RNA is filed under the name uncultured bacterium. Its description in RNAcentral is "partial 16S ribosomal RNA". It matches the Rfam family "Bacterial small subunit ribosomal RNA", at positions 28 to 507 of the family's 1533-position model. The record is from RNAcentral.